GACGUAGGGGGCAAGCGUUGUCCGGAAUGACUGGGCGUAAAGGGCGUGUAGGCGGCCGGGUACGUCGGCGCGGGCAGCCCGCGGCUCACCCGCGGGAGCGGGCCGAAACGGCCGGGCUCGAGGGCAGGAGAGGGACAUGGAAUGCCCGGUGGAGCGGUGAAAUGCGUAGAGAUCGGGCAGAACACCCGUGGCGAAGGCGGUGUCCUGGCCUGGCCCUGACGCUGAGGCGCGACAGCGUGGGGAGCGAACGGG
This 252-nucleotide ribosomal RNA is filed under the name uncultured Sulfobacillus sp. Its description in RNAcentral is "partial 16S ribosomal RNA". It matches the Rfam family "Bacterial small subunit ribosomal RNA", at positions 524 to 776 of the family's 1533-position model. The record is from RNAcentral. Lineage: Bacteria; Bacillati; Bacillota; Clostridia; Eubacteriales; Clostridiales Family XVII. Incertae Sedis.